RNAcentral lists this long non-coding RNA (907 nucleotides) under Marmota monax (woodchuck). Lineage: Eukaryota; Metazoa; Chordata; Mammalia; Rodentia; Sciuridae. The record is from RNAcentral.
ACAGGUGAUGCAGAUACUGGAGUUGCAUUGGAUCAUUUUAUCAUGUUCAAUGCAAGACAAAAUUUCUGCAGAACUGUAAUCAAUUAAAUCAAAUCAAAUGGAUAUUUGAUAACAGGAAAAACUUAAAAACUCAUGGAUGUGAAGUGAAAAGACAACCCACAGAAUGGGAGGAAAUAUUUGCAAGUCAUAUAUCUGAUAAGAGGUUAAUAUGUAGACUAUAUAACAACCCAAUAACACAAAACUAACCCUAUGAAAUCAUGAUUGAAGGUCUUGAAUUGACAUUUUUCCAAAGAAGAUACACAAGUAGCCAAGAAAGCACAUAAAAAGAUGCUCGAACAUCACUCAUCAUAAGGAAAGCACAAAUCAAAACUAUACUAAGCUAAUACCUCUUGCUCAUUAGGAUGGCUAUUUUCAAACAAACAACAGGAAAUACAUUUUGGCAAGGAUGUGGAGAAAUUGGAACCCUUUUGCAUAGUUGGUGGGAAUGUAAAUUUGUUCUACUGUAAAAAUAAAUUUUAAAAAAUUGAUAGACCUCUAGCCAUACUAACCAACGAAAAAGAGAGAAGGAACAUUACCAAUAUCAACAUAAGAGGAGAGGAUAUUACUACAGACCUUGCAGGUAUUAGAAGAGUCAAUAAUCAACUCUUAGAUGAAGUGGAUUAAUUUUUUGUAAGACAAAACUAUAACACUCAGGAAGAAAUAUGACAGCAUGAAUCAAACUAUUAUCUGCUGAGGAAACUGAAUUUGUAAACUAUAAAACAGAACAACUACUAAGAAAACCAGUGCUCUCAAAACACUUUCAACAAGUUAAGAUAGACUUGUAUAGGAAUACAAGAAAAGAAAGCAGGAAUGAGAAACAGGACAGAAACAAAAAAACAAGUCAUAGAUAGCAGAUAAAAGCCCUGGC